UAGGGAAUAUUAGAAAUGGACGGAAAUCUGGUCUAGCAAAACCGCGUGUGCGAAGAAGGCCUUCGGGUCGUAAAGCACUUUUUGGAAGGAAUAGGAAGGAAUGUACUUACAGAAUAAGUCUCGGCUAACUACGUGCCAGCAGCCGCGGUAACACGUAGGAGGCGAACGUUAUCCGGAUUUACUGGGCGUAAAGCGCGUGUAGGUGGUUCUGUAAGUAGGGCGUGAAAGCUCCUGGCUCAACUGGGAGAGGCCGUUCUAAACUACAGAACUAGAGGAUGGUAGAGGGAGGUGGAAAUCCAGGUGUAGCGGUGGAAUGCGCAGAUAUCUGGAGGAACACCAGUGGCGAAGGCGGCCUCCUGGACCAUUCCUGACACUCAGACGCGAAAGCUAGGGUAGCAAACG
Molecule: ribosomal RNA, 402 nt
Filed under: uncultured prokaryote
Description: bacterial SSU rRNA
Rfam family: Bacterial small subunit ribosomal RNA
Source: RNAcentral